This 253-nucleotide ribosomal RNA is filed under the name uncultured bacterium. Its description in RNAcentral is "partial 16S ribosomal RNA". It matches the Rfam family "Bacterial small subunit ribosomal RNA", at positions 524 to 776 of the family's 1533-position model. The record is from RNAcentral.
UACGGAGGGGGCGAGCGUUAUUCGGAAUUAUUGGGCGUAAAGGGCGCGUAGGCGGCUUGACAGGUCAAAGGUGAAAUCCCUCGGCUCAACCGAGGAAUUGCGCCCAAAACUGCCGCACUAGAGGAAGACAGAGGUACGCGGAACUUAGGGUGGAGCGGUGAAAUGCGUUGAUAUCCUAAGGAACACCGGUGGCGAAAGCGGCGUGCUGGGUCUUAUCUGACGCUGAGGCACGAAAGCUAGGGGAGCGAACGGG